This 522-nucleotide ribosomal RNA is filed under the name Vibrio parahaemolyticus. RNAcentral describes it as "partial 23S ribosomal RNA". It matches the Rfam family "Bacterial large subunit ribosomal RNA", at positions 1211 to 1733 of the family's 2925-position model. Lineage: Bacteria; Pseudomonadati; Pseudomonadota; Gammaproteobacteria; Vibrionales; Vibrionaceae. The record is from RNAcentral.
UGCUUUUGCACAUUGGGUAGGGGAGCGUUCUGUAAGCGGUUGAAGGUGUGUGGUAACGCAUGCUGGACGUAUCAGAAGUGCGAAUGCUGACAUGAGUAACGAUAAAGGGGGUGAAAAACCUCCUCGCCGGAAGACCAAGGGUUCCUGUCCAACGUUAAUCGGGGCAGGGUAAGUCGACCCCUAAGGCGAGGCCGAAAGGCGUAGUCGAUGGGAAACGGGUUAAUAUUCCCGUACUUCUUACAAUUGCGAUGGGGGGACGGAGAAGGCUAGGUGGGCCUGGCGACGGUUGUCCAGGUUCAAGUGCGUAGGCUUAAGAGUUAGGUAAAUCCGGCUCUUUCUAAGGCUGAGACACGACGUCGAGCACCUACGGGUGUGAAGUCAUUGAUGCCAUGCUUCCAGGAAAAGCCUCUAAGCUUCAGAUUGUAAGGAAUCGUACCCCAAACCGACACAGGUGGUCGGGUAGAGAAUACCAAGGCGCUUGAGAGAACUCGGGUGAAGGAACUAGGCAAAAUGGUACCGUAA